ACUCCUACGGGAGGCAGCAGUGGGGAAUCUUAGACAAUGGGCGCAAGCCUGAUCUAGCCAUGCCGCGUGAGUGAUGAAGGCCUUAGGGUCGUAAAACUCUUUCGCCAGGGAUGAUAAUGACAGUACCUGGUAAAGAAGCCCCGGCUAACUCCGUGCCAGCAGCCGCGGUAAUACGGAGGGGGCUAGCGUUGUUCGGAAUUACUGGGGCGUAAAGCGCACGUAGGCGGACUAUUAAGUCAGGGGUGAAAUCCCGGGGCUCAACCCCGGAACUGCCUUUGAUACUGGUAGUCUUGAGUUCGAGAGAGGUGAGUGGAAUUCCGAGUGUAGAGGUGAAAUUCGUAGAUAUUCGGAGGAACACCAGUGGCGAAGGCGGCUCACUGGCUCGAUACUGACGCUGAGGUGCGAAAGUGUGGGGAGCAAACAGGAUUAGAUACCCUGGUAGGAUAGCG
This 449-nucleotide ribosomal RNA is filed under the name uncultured bacterium. Its description in RNAcentral is "bacterial SSU rRNA". It matches the Rfam family "Bacterial small subunit ribosomal RNA", at positions 335 to 799 of the family's 1533-position model. The record is from RNAcentral.